AGGACGAACGCUGGCGGCGUGCCUAACACAUGUAAGUCGAACGCGCUCCAUUCGGUAGCAAUACUGAUGAAGAGUGAGUGGCGAACGGGUGAGUAACACAUGAGCAACCUGCCCCGAAGACUGGGACAACACCGGGAAACCGGUGCUAAUACCGGAUAUCCCUAUCGGACCGCAUGAUCUGAUAAGGAAAUGGAUUCCGCUUCGGGAGGGGCUCGUGGCCUAUCAGCUAGUUGGUGAGGUAACGGCUCACCAAGGCAUCGACGGGUAGCUGGUCUGAGAGGACGAUCAGCCACACUGGGACUGAGACACGGCCCAGACUCCUACGGGAGGCAGCAGUGGGGAAUCUUGCGCAAUGGGCGAAAGCCUGACGCAGCAACGCCGCGUGGAGGACGAAGGCUUUCUGAGUUGUAAACUCCUUUCAGCAGGGACGAUAGUGACGGUACCUGCAGAAGAGCACCGGCAACUACGCGCCAGCAG
This 477-nucleotide ribosomal RNA is filed under the name uncultured bacterium. RNAcentral's name for it is "SSU rRNA". It matches the Rfam family "Bacterial small subunit ribosomal RNA", at positions 26 to 514 of the family's 1533-position model. The record is from RNAcentral.